RNAcentral lists this unclassified non-coding RNA (382 nucleotides) under Mortierella sp. RNAcentral's name for it is "partial contains 5.8S ribosomal RNA, internal transcribed spacer 2, and large subunit ribosomal RNA". The stretch from base 1 to 71 matches the Rfam family "5.8S ribosomal RNA", at positions 84 to 154 of the family's 154-position model. Lineage: Eukaryota; Fungi; Mortierellomycota; Mortierellomycetes; Mortierellales; Mortierellaceae. The record is from RNAcentral.
GUGAGUCAUCGAAUCUUUGAACGCAUAUUGCGCUCUUUGGUAUUCCGAAGAGCAUGCUUGUUUGAGUAUCAGUAAACACCUCAAAGCUUUUGAUUUCUUUUUGAAAGCUUUGGACUUGAGCAAUCCCAACACCAAUCUUUUUCAGAUCGGCGGCGGGUUGCUUGAAAUGCAGGUGCAGCUGGACAUUCUCCUGAGCUAAAAGCAUAUUCAUUUAGUCCCGUCAAACGGAUUAUUACUUUUGCUGCAGCUAACAUAAAGGGAGUUUGACCGUAUUGGCUGACUGAUGCAGGAUUUCACAAGGGUCGGCAACGAUUCUUGUUAAACUCGAUCUCAAAUCAAGUAAGACUACCCGCUGAACUUAAGCAUAUCAAUAAGCGGAGGA